AAAACCUUAAGUUAAACUAAACUAAUAGCCUUCAAAGCCAUAAAUAAAGAAAUAAUCUUUAGGUUUUA
Molecule: transfer RNA, 68 nt
Filed under: Lepisma saccharinum
Lineage: Eukaryota; Metazoa; Arthropoda; Insecta; Zygentoma; Lepismatidae
Also listed under: 1 other name
Description: Lepisma saccharina tRNA-Trp
Source: RNAcentral